RNAcentral lists this small RNA (95 nucleotides) under Treponema pedis str. T A4. RNAcentral's name for it is "TD-2 RNA". It matches the Rfam family "TD-2 RNA". From Rfam's summary of the family: non coding RNA found in Treponema denticola Lineage: Bacteria; Pseudomonadati; Spirochaetota; Spirochaetia; Treponematales; Treponemataceae. The record is from Rfam by way of RNAcentral.
UCCGCCAUGGACGGCGGUGGUUCAAAUGUCGAGAGUUUUGCGUAAGCAAAACUCUAAAAUGAAAAAUAUACACGGACGUAUAUUUUUCAUUAUCC